This is a long non-coding RNA of Spinacia oleracea (spinach), 976 nucleotides long. RefSeq lists it as uncharacterized. The record is from RefSeq and is a predicted model, not a curated record. The transcript is spliced from 6 exons. NCBI's taxonomy places the organism in Eukaryota, Viridiplantae, Streptophyta, Magnoliopsida, Caryophyllales, Amaranthaceae.
AUAGGCUCUUGUCCCAGACGUAAAGUAGCAAGAAAGGUGAAAACAUUACUGGCGUGUAGAGGAACUUUGAGGAAAUAACAUGCCCCAAAUGUAGCAGCAGAGAUCAAUACAGGAGAUGACCAGUAGAAAAACAAACUCAAAAGAGGUCCAGCUGACAGUGCGACUAUUUUCAAAAACGCGAAGAACCCUGACAUCAGAAUCUCCUUCCAGUGGCAUGCAACAAUAGCCCACAAGAUUGAAGAUUCUGACAGCAACUCACCAGCCUGUUUCCGUUUAUUCAGUUGAUCCAGAAACUCAAAGGUUUCAACCAACAAAAUGACAUCUCACUGAACAACCCAGCUGUAGAAAACGGGCUAACUUGGGCAGCUGAAUCAGUCUCUCCACUGCCAUUAUCCUCUACAUUCAAAGGCCUGCUACUCUCCAAGGUAAUUUUGGCAUCAGAAUUUCAGCUUAAAAUUCAAAUGCAGACUGGAGCAAGCAUUCUAGACAAAAAUGUUGAAGGGAAUUUUCAAGUUGAGAUCUUCCGGUACUCUUCUUCAGCUACGCGGAGUACUACUAACGUAUCACUCCAUCACGGUGGGUAUCCUGUGGGCUACAGUAAUCACAGUGGAGCCAACAAAUUCUGUUCUUAUUGUUUUCUGAAGGAUCGUGUCAGUUGCAUUAUCAAUCGAUGCAGUCGCUUCAUCAAGAACUAACACUCGACUUCUUCUCAGCAAAGCACGCCCUAGACAGAACAGCUGCCGCUGUCCCAUGCUCCAAUUUGAUCCAUCCUCCACAACUGAUGGUAAUAAAGAGCCUUUACAAAGCUGCUGAAUAGCUAUUUACAAAUGAUUCUAUCUUAAGCAUGGCAUAGAAAAGUAUGACAACCACAUCUGGAGUUCUGGACAAGUUAUAAACCAUUUUUGUAGUCUUUCUUGAUGGAAUAGGAGGGUAGAGGGGGAGUUCUAUUAAUCCUUCAACAUCUUACCUGCAGUCU